CGCGGGGUGGCGCUCUCACCAUGGUAAACCGGAAUAAAAGAAUGACGUGACAAACACUCGGCCUGAACAAUGCACACGAACACGCGAAACGAGAACCACAGAUAGCCGGACAACGACAAACGAUCUCCUUUCACCAGCAGGCUCAAACACACGUCAGCCACACUACGAAGGCGCACACUUUUCUUACACGAUAUCUAAGAAGUUGUCGGUUGUCGUAGGAUGAUGUUUAGAAUGUUGGCUAAAUUCAUGUGGUAACCGCGAAGAGGUUUUCGUACAAUACACACCGCUAUAGACGAUAUAGUGUACGUUAGCACGCCGUUUCCGUCGUCCUGCUCUAGCGGGAGCAAAUAGUGGGAGUAGCGAAAGCUGGCGAUGGUGUUUUUUUUUUUUUUUUUUUUUUUGCGUUCGCCAUGAUGGCUCGUCUCCGCCUUUGUGGCACGCCUAUCGAGCGGCGGUGAUUAGGGAGCCGACGAAGGCCUUGCGCCGCGGGCUGGAUCGGGGCAACAGCGAGGCUGCUUUGAUUUCGGGCAGUGAGACGCCGCGUUCUCAUCUGCCGCCCUGUCUACAGAGCACCGACGUCGACGCUAGAAACGCUGACGUGCUUGCUCCUAAAGUCAGGCCGCUCACCCGCGAAUCGUUAUCAGCAUCGCGCGUAACGAUCAUUUUGCACUCUGUCCAAUGAAGCCACGAACUGCGAGCACCGUCUUUGAAGCCAAUUGAACACGGCAAAGCGGCAAAGCCUCUUCUGGCCGGCGAGGCAAGAUUUUGACGUCACCGCGUGCCGGAAGCGGCAAUUUCCGGCACUGCGGCACCCGGCAGCUGUCCCACCGUGCUCCUACAUGCUCCUACCUUGUUUCGCCUGGUGCGCGCGUUCGUUUUUUAAAUUCUUUGCCGCUGACAGUUUAUUUAUUGCGUCUUUUGAAUGCGUGAAGGCUUAACGGGUGAUGCCGAACAGAUGUGCGCUAGCCUGUUCUACGAAAUGCCUAUGUUGAAGAGGGCACUGGCCGUUUUGUUUCCGAAGAAUCACAGCGCUCGGAACAAGUGUGUACUUAGGUGCCAUUCCUCGAGGCGUGUGGUGCCUACUUUCUAGACGAAGGGUCGACUUCGGGCAUCAGCCGCUGUGCGCGGUGCAAAAGACUCUACGAGCAGCACGGAUUCCCGGAGGCGCCGAGUUGGGCCCGCGUCGCUGAAGUGCGCACGCGAACUAUGCACAGAGAGGAGACGAGACAGUGUCUGCUCUGCUGCCGACGUUAGGGCAAAAAUGUGGAGGACUGCCGUUUCCUCGUCGUAUCUACCUUCGCCUCUUCUACCGCUACCAGGUUUACCAUCAGC
Long non-coding RNA from Dermacentor andersoni, 1332 nucleotides. RefSeq lists it as uncharacterized. NCBI's taxonomy places the organism in Eukaryota, Metazoa, Arthropoda, Arachnida, Ixodida, Ixodidae. The record is from RefSeq and is a predicted model, not a curated record.